RNAcentral lists this ribosomal RNA (404 nucleotides) under Fusobacteriota bacterium. RNAcentral describes it as "Fusobacteria bacterium partial 16S ribosomal RNA". It matches the Rfam family "Bacterial small subunit ribosomal RNA", at positions 355 to 776 of the family's 1533-position model. The record is from RNAcentral. Lineage: Bacteria; Fusobacteriati; Fusobacteriota.
UGGGGAAUAUUGCACAAUGGAGGGAACUCUGAUGCAGCGACGCCGCGUGAGUGAUGAAGGACUUCGUUUCGUAAAACUCUGUUCUAUGGGAAGAAAAGGACUGUACCAUAGGAGAAAGCUCCGGCUAAAUACGUGCCAGCAGCCGCGGUAAUACGUAUGGAGCGAGCGUUGUCCGGAAUUAUUGGGCGUAAAGGGUGCGCAGGCGGCUUUACAAGUUGGCUGUGAAAUAUUGUGGCUCAACCACAAACGUGCAUCCAAAACUGCAAAGCUUGAGUUAAGGAGAGGUAAGUGGAAUUCCUGGUGUAGCGGUGGAAUGCGUAGAUAUCAGGCGGAAUACCGGUGGCGAAGGCGACUUACUGGACUUAAACUGACGCUCAGGCACGAAAGCGUGGGGAGCAAACAGG